GUUCAAGGCAAAUAUUUGGUUCCCCAGGUGUGAUGUAAUCAGCUCCCUCAGAAGGUGGAUUCUUGGACCAUUUUGGAUAUUGCACAUAUAAGAUAAGAUUUCAGAGGAAACCUUGCUAAUUGCUUCUUCAAUAAAGUGUGAGAAAUGUGGACCACAGAUGAAGAUCGUUAGAAGAGCCGAUUCUGAGGACGGCCGUAUAUGGUAUUGUGUCAUGGUGAAAGAAAUAACCACUGUAACGGUAAAAAAACGUAUUAGACAUUCCUCCUUUUUUUACCGGCAAUAAACUAAUUAAUAAUAAUAACUAA
Molecule: long non-coding RNA, 305 nt
Organism: Stegodyphus dumicola
Lineage: Eukaryota; Metazoa; Arthropoda; Arachnida; Araneae; Eresidae
Source: RefSeq, a predicted model, not a curated record